Molecule: ribosomal RNA, 310 nt
Filed under: uncultured bacterium
Lineage: Bacteria
Description: partial 16S ribosomal RNA
Rfam family: Bacterial small subunit ribosomal RNA
Source: RNAcentral
AAGAGACAGCAGUAGCCGCGGUAAUACGAGGGGGGCAAGCGUUGUUCGGAAUUAUUGGGCGUAAAGGGCGCGUAGGCGGUUUGGCAAGUUUGGUGUGAAAUCUUCGGGCUCAACUCGAAGUCUGCACCGAAAACUGCCGGGCUUGAGUAUGGGAGAGGUGAGUGGAAUUUCCGGUGUAGCGGUGAAAUGCGUAGAUAUCGGAAGGAACACCUGUGGCGAAAGCGGCUCACUGGACCAUUACUGACGCUGAGGCGCGAAAGCUAGGGGAGCAAACAGGAUUAGAUACCCCGGUAGUCCCUGUCUCUUAUAC